AGAGAGAGAGCAUGGCAGCAAAAAAAAAAAUACAGAAAAAGAAAGUGCAGUACAGAAACAGUGCAGGAACACUGCGGGGGAGAGAGAGAGAGAGAGAGAGAGAGAGAGAGAGCAUGGGAGUCCAAAAAAAAAAAGAGAAGAAAAAAAAAGAAAAAAAACCCAGCACAGAAAAGGGGGGGGGAGAGAGAGAGAGAGAGAGAAAGCAAGCAUGGCAUUGGCAGCAAAAAAAAAAAA
This 234-nucleotide unclassified non-coding RNA is filed under the name Hevea brasiliensis (rubber tree). The record is from RNAcentral. Lineage: Eukaryota; Viridiplantae; Streptophyta; Magnoliopsida; Malpighiales; Euphorbiaceae.